CUGACCGAGGGGCGGACGCGCGGCGGGGCAGACCGCUGGGGACUGCGGGCGGCGCUGUGUCCGUCGCCAUGACAGAUCAGACCUAUUGUGACCGCCUGGUGCAGGACACGCCUUUCCUGACAGGCCACGGGCGCUUGAGUGAGCAGCAGGUGGACAGGAUCAUCCUCCAGCUGAACCGUUACUACCCACAGAUCCUUACCAACAAGGAGGCGGAAAAGUUCCGGAACCCUAAGGCAUCCUUGCGUGUGCGGCUCUGUGACCUCCUGAGCCACCUGCAGCGGAGCGGUGAGCGGGACUGCCAGGAGUUCUACCGAGCCCUGUAUAUCCAUGCCCAGCCCCUGCACAGCGCCUGCCCAGCCGCCACGCUCUGCGACCCAUGAGCUUCCUGGCUGGCCUGGGCCUUGCUGUGGGACUGGCCCUGCUCCUGUACUGCUAUCCGCCAGACCCCAAGGGCCUGCCAGGGACCCGGCGCGUCCUCGGUUUCUCGCCUGUCAUCAUCGACAGACAUGUCAGCCGCUACCUGCUGGCCUUCCUGGCAGAUGACCUAGGGGGGCUCUGACAGACCCCGGACCCAGGGCCUCACCUGCCACUCAACCAAAGAGUCCUCGAGCCGGCCCGCCAAGGGGACUGCUGCUUCUUUUUCUAAAUGCAUAUUUUUC
Molecule: small RNA, 659 nt
Filed under: Pan troglodytes (chimpanzee)
Lineage: Eukaryota; Metazoa; Chordata; Mammalia; Primates; Hominidae
Description: processed transcript
Source: RNAcentral